This 654-nucleotide long non-coding RNA is filed under the name Gallus gallus (chicken). RNAcentral describes it as "lncRNA (ENSGALG00010008854.1)". Lineage: Eukaryota; Metazoa; Chordata; Aves; Galliformes; Phasianidae. The record is from RNAcentral.
AGCACGCAGAGGGGAUACAUCAAAACAGAUGUAAUCUUUGUAGCAUGGGCCGUUCGUUGGCAACUGAAAGUUACUGCUGAUGCCCAUUGUGUUUCGGACCUGGGGUCAGAGGUGCUCCUGCUUUUCCCUCUGCCAGAUAAAAGCAUCAGUGGUGUCACAGUGCUCUUCGCAGAAACGCUCCCUCAGAGAAGGAUGGAAAUGUUGAGCUGUGUCUUUGUUCUGGAGCCCCAGUCUUUACCAAAAGCUUUGUGCUUGGCCACAGACAUGAAUAAAGGGAGCAAAGCACAGGUUUCUAAUUGUUGUGACAUCCAUAUUUCUUACAAUCAGAGGGAAAAAGAAGAGAAACACAACUGACUUAAGAGGCCCAGACCCAACAGGAAUGGCCUGGAAUUAGCGAAUGUAAAGACUCAGCUUUGAGUCAUGUUCUAGGCUGGAGUAGAGUUGCCUGCUUUAUCUGAGCACUGCACUUCAGACUUUCAAACCACAAGGAUGGCUGUAACUUGGCCUCAGAAGACGGCAGCCAUUUUCUCUGUCAGCUUAAUGUAUUGGUCUUGAAGCUGUGGGAACUACUGGCUGGAACACAGCUGCGGUGAAUGGACAAGUUUGCUGUUUGCAUGUUUUAAGUUUGUUUUUUCCCCUCUUCCCAGUGUAAUU